Molecule: ribosomal RNA, 259 nt
Filed under: uncultured bacterium
Lineage: Bacteria
Description: partial 16S ribosomal RNA
Rfam family: Bacterial small subunit ribosomal RNA
Source: RNAcentral
UACGUAGGAGGCGAGCGUUGUCCGGAGUUACUGGGCGUAAAGGGUGCGUAGGCGGCCGCGCGCGUGGCGGGUGAAAUCUCCCGGCUUACCCGGGAGGGGGCUUGCCAGACGGCGCGGCUUGAGGGACGGAGAGGGGCGUGGAAUUCCGGGUGGAGCGGUGAAAUGCGUAGAGAUCCGGAGGAACACCGACGGCGUAGGCAGCGCCCUGGCCGUGCAAUAACCCUGACGCUGAAGCACGAAAGCUGGGGGAGCGAACAGG